Molecule: ribosomal RNA, 930 nt
Filed under: Enterococcus sp.
Lineage: Bacteria; Bacillati; Bacillota; Bacilli; Lactobacillales; Enterococcaceae
Description: bacterial SSU rRNA
Rfam family: Bacterial small subunit ribosomal RNA
Source: RNAcentral
CCACCGGAGCUUGCUCCACCGGAAAAAGAAGAGUGGCGAACGGGUGAGUAACACGUGGGUAACCUGCCCAUCAGAAGGGGAUAACACUUGGAAACAGGUGCUAAUACCGUAUAACAAUCGAAACCGCAUGGUUUUGAUUUGAAAGGCGCUUUCGGGUGUCGCUGAUGGAUGGACCCGCGGUGCAUUAGCUAGUUGGUGAGGUAACGGCUCACCAAGGCCACGAUGCAUAGCCGACCUGAGAGGGUGAUCGGCCACAUUGGGACUGAGACACGGCCCAAACUCCUACGGGAGGCAGCAGUAGGGAAUCUUCGGCAAUGGACGAAAGUCUGACCGAGCAACGCCGCGUGAGUGAAGAAGGUUUUCGGAUCGUAAAACUCUGUUGUUAGAGAAGAACAAGGAUGAGAGUAACUGUUCAUCCCUUGACGGUAUCUAACCAGAAAGCCACGGCUAACUACGUGCCAGCAGCCGCGGUAAUACGUAGGUGGCAAGCGUUGUCCGGAUUUAUUGGGCGUAAAGCGAGCGCAGGCGGUUUCUUAAGUCUGAUGUGAAAGCCCCCGGCUCAACCGGGGAGGGUCAUUGGAAACUGGGAGACUUGAGUGCAGAAGAGGAGAGUGGAAUUCCAUGUGUAGCGGUGAAAUGCGUAGAUAUAUGGAGGAACACCAGUGGCGAAGGCGGCUCUCUGGUCUGUAACUGACGCUGAGGCUCGAAAGCGUGGGGAGCAAACAGGAUUAGAUACCCUGGUAGUCCACGCCGUAAACGAUGAGUGCUAAGUGUUGGAGGGUUUCCGCCCUUCAGUGCUGCAGCUAACGCAUUAAGCACUCCGCCUGGGGAGUACGACCGCAAGGUUGAAACUCAAAGGAAUUGACGGGGGCCCGCACAAGCGGUGGAGCAUGUGGUUUAAUUCGAAGCACCGCGAAGAACCUUACCAGG